UUAUUGUUUUGUUUUUUUUUGUGUGUCUCGUACCGAUCGUUUGAGUUAAUCUAAUUGCAACUGAUUUGCACAGGUUGUUCUUAUACUGUACUGCCACACUACUGUUUCAGCUCCGGGAAGGAUUGAGCGAUCACAAACAAGUUGUACUGUUACACCACUGUCCCAGGUUAAGGGAUUGUUGUUAUCCCGCUAACAUAUUUAACCCUGCCACAUUCUGUAUGUACGUGUCUGUCCCAAGUCAAGAGCCUGCAAGUCAGUGGUUGUCGUUUGUUGCCGUCUUAUUUUUUUUUUUUUCACUUUUUUUUUGUACAUUAAUUAGGCCGUUAGUUUUCUCCUUUGAAUGGUUUUACAUAAAUUUUGUAAUUUCGGGACCUUUUAUAGCUGACUAUGUGGUAUGGGCUUUGUUUAUUGUUGAGGGCUGUAUGGUGACCUAUGGCUGUUAAUUUUUGUGUGUCAUUUUGUCUCUAUUAAGAGUGUCUCAUUGGUAAUCAUACCAUAUCUUCGUUUUUAUAUCAACCCCUGCCAUAUUCUUUAUGAACCUGUUUAGUGGUUGUCAUUAGUACAUGUCUCAACUCAUAUUUAAUUUUUUAUAAAUUGUUUUGUUUUGUAUGGUUAGACCUAUAGUUUUUUUGUUUGAUUUUUUGUACACUUUUCAUGGCCUUCUAUAAACGGCUUUACAGUAUUGGGUUGUGUCAUUGUAGAAGGCCUUAAUGUUGCCUAUAAUUGCUUACAUCCACUUCAUAUUUGGACACUAGCCUAAUCAUGAGUGUUAAACACAACCAAUGAAACAAAUCCCUUGAAUGACAAAUAGUUGCUCCUUAACUGUUAUUGUCCGUGUAGUUCUUGUAUUUAUCCAGCUUAUCGUCCUACAGGGAUGUCCUACUAAGACUGACAUACCAUAAAAGCGUUUAUAACACAGCUCACAUUCUUAUAUAUCUACAUUCAUAAAUUUAUUAUUGUUAUUUAGACUAAACGACUCCAUGCUUGUUUGUUUUGUGCCUCUGCCGUCUAAA
Molecule: long non-coding RNA, 1013 nt
Filed under: Mytilus galloprovincialis (Mediterranean mussel)
Lineage: Eukaryota; Metazoa; Mollusca; Bivalvia; Mytilida; Mytilidae
Source: RNAcentral